RNAcentral lists this unclassified non-coding RNA (382 nucleotides) under soil metagenome. RNAcentral describes it as "partial contains 5.8S ribosomal RNA, internal transcribed spacer 2, and large subunit ribosomal RNA". The stretch from base 1 to 120 matches the Rfam family "5.8S ribosomal RNA", at positions 35 to 154 of the family's 154-position model. The record is from RNAcentral.
GAUGAAGAACGUAGCGAAAUGCGAUAAGUAAUGUGAAUUGCAGAAUUCAGUGAAUCAUCGAAUCUUUGAACGCACCUUGCACCCUUUGGCAUUCCGAAGGGUAUGCUCGUUUGAGUGUCAUUGUACUCUCACUCUCCCGAUACUUUUGGAUCGGGAGUGGUGGACUUGGGUGCUGCUGCUUAACUGUGGCUCGCCUUAAAUGAAGUAGUGCAACUCUCGGUUGGACAUAGUACGGCGUGAUAAGUGUCUUCGCCGGCGCCUCAUUCGAGGGUGGCCGAUCGGGAGCUCUGUGCUUCAAACUGUCUUCGGACAGCAUCUGACAACUUGACCUCAAAUCGAGUAGGACUACCCGCUGAACUUAAGCAUAUCAAUAAGCGGAGGA